CAGGCGGGAAGCUAAGUUGGAUGUGAAAUACCGGGGCUCAACUCCGGAGCUGCAUCCAAAACUGGUUUUCUUGAGUGGAGUAGAGGCAAGCGGAAUUCCGAGUGUAGCGGUGAAAUGCGUAGAUAUUCGGAGGAACACCAGUGGCGAAGGCGGCUUGCUGGGCUCUAACUGACGCUGAGGCCCGAAAGCGUGGGGAGCAAACAGGAUUAGAUACCCUGGUAGUCCACGCCGUAAACGAUGAUUACUAGGUGUGGGGGGUCUGACCCCUUCCGUGCCGCAGUUAACGCAAUAAGUAAUCCACCUGGGGAGUACGGCCGCAAGGCUGAAACUCAAAGGAAUUGACGGGGGCCCGCACAAGCAGUGGAUUAUGUGGUUUAAUUCGAAGCAACGCGAAGAACCUUACCAGGUCUUGACAUCUCCUGCAUAACCUAGAGAUAGGUGAAGUCCUUCGGGACAGGAUGACAGGUGGUGCAUGGUUGUCGUCAGCUCGUGUCGUGAGAUGUUGGGUUAAGUCCCGCAACGAGCGCAACCCUUGCCAUUAGUUGCUACGCGAGAGCACUCUAAUGGGACCGCUACCGACAAGGUGGAGGAAGGUGGGGAUGACGUCAAAUCAUCAUGCCCCUUAUGACCUGGGCUACACACGUAAUACAAUGGCCAUCAACAGAGGGUCGCAAUACCGCGAGGUGGAGCCAAUCCCUAAAAAUGGUCUCAGUUCGGAUCGCAGGCUGCAACCCGCCUGCGUGAAGCUGGAAUUGCUAGUAAUCGCG
This 767-nucleotide ribosomal RNA is filed under the name uncultured Bacillota bacterium. RNAcentral's name for it is "bacterial SSU rRNA". It matches the Rfam family "Bacterial small subunit ribosomal RNA", at positions 572 to 1346 of the family's 1533-position model. The record is from RNAcentral. Lineage: Bacteria; Bacillati; Bacillota.